GAUACCGCCCUAGUUCUAACCAUAAACGAUGCCAACCAGCGAUCCGCCUGGGUUCCUCAAAUGACUCGGCGGGCAGCUUCCGGGAAACCAAAGUGUUUGGGUUCCGGGGGAAGUAUGGUUGCAAAGCUGAAACUUAAAGGAAUUGACGGAAGGGCACCACAAGAAGUGGAGCCUGCGGCUUAAUUUGACUCAACACGGGAAAACUUACCCGGCCCGGACACUGGAAGGAUUGACAGAUUAAGAGCUCUUUCUUGAUUCAGUGGGUGGUGGUGCAUGGCCGUUCUUAGUUGGUGGAGCGAUUUGUCUGGUUAAUUCCGUUAACGAGCGAGACUCCCAUCUACCAAGUAGCCGAUCCCAUCCCUUGCGUGGGACGGUCUUCUUAGAGAGAGAAGCGGCGUUUAGCCGCACGAAACGGAGCAAUAACAGGUCUGUGAUGCCCUUAGAUGUCCGGGGCCGCACGCGCGCUACACUGAAGGAAUCAGCGUGUGCUCUCCCUGUCCGGUAGGACUGGGUAACCCGUGGAACCUCCUUCGUGAUGGGGAUAGGGGCUUGUAAUUGUUCCCCUUGAACGAAGAAUUCCUAGUAAGCGCGAGUCAUAAGCUCGUGUUGAUUACGUCCCUGCCCUUUGUCCACACCGCCCGUCGCUACUACCGAU
RNAcentral lists this ribosomal RNA (655 nucleotides) under Scytodes fusca. RNAcentral describes it as "SSU rRNA". It matches the Rfam family "Eukaryotic small subunit ribosomal RNA", at positions 1011 to 1689 of the family's 1831-position model. Lineage: Eukaryota; Metazoa; Arthropoda; Arachnida; Araneae; Scytodidae. The record is from RNAcentral.